This is an RNA transcript of Brassica rapa (field mustard), 3619 nucleotides long. It is a transcript of the gene named WEB family protein At1g12150, with no coding region annotated. Lineage: Eukaryota; Viridiplantae; Streptophyta; Magnoliopsida; Brassicales; Brassicaceae. The record is from RefSeq and is a predicted model, not a curated record.
UGUGAUAAAUGAUUUUCUUGUAAUAUGUUAGUUUUUAUGUGGAAUGGUCUAAUUUUUCUAGGGUUUGAUUCGGCUUUAAGAUUUAGUUUUAUUGGGAGCCUAUUUGAUAAAUUAAACGUUCAUGGUCAAAUAUGUGAUACAAAAUAGAUAGUUGGCAUUACAUAUAACUUUUAAAGACUUCGAGAUAUACUGCAUAACUUUAAUAUAUAUUCAAUUUUACUAUUCGACGUGGAGUAUUAACAUGAAGGGAAGGUAGUUAGUUUGGUUUUUAUAAAAAAAAAAGCCAAUCUUUGGCUCUUAAAAGUCAGAAGCAAAAUAAACAAGUAAAGGACAUUGAGACAGGCAGAGACGUGGGUGCAGACAGAAGAAAGAAAGGUGUCGUGCCAGUAACUAAGGUUCUAAAUAUAGACCGAAGAGACAAAAAUGAUACCAACCAACAAAAAGUCCCGUAAUUAUAGAGAAGAAGGGAUUAUAUAAGAAGAAGACGAUAACAAAAACACCAACGAGGAACACAGAAAGAGAAACUCAUCAAGGUACAUGUCUCCUCCAUUCAUUCUUAUGCAACUUUCAUCGCUUAUGUAAAAAUAUGCUGGUUCUUCUAUUAGAUUGGAUACAAAAGAAACGCUUGAAUAUGACGAUCAUGUGAGGAUUAUAUAUGGCCUUUGUUUAGUUUUUGUAUUGAUUGAGAAUGGUGUGCAUGUCUUGGUUGUAGAUAAUGGCAAACAUUAGAGUACAAAAAGGUCCAGAAUCUCCGAGGACCGAGGUCGGAGAGAUAGACACAAGAGCCCCUUUUCAGUCGGUGAAAGCUGCGGUGAGCUUGUUUGGUGAAGUAGUCUCAAGACAAAGAAGUACUCCAAGAAGGUCUCGUCUCUCCUCUGAGAGCGUUUGCGACAAAGAAACACAGCUAAUGCUAGCACACAAGCAAUUCCUCAAGAUCAAACAAAAGCUAGACAACGCUGAGAUCACAAGAUCACGUGCUCUCUCCGAUCUCUCAAACGCUAAGAAGACAAUGGAGGAGCUUACCAACAAACUCGAAGCUGUUAACAAGUCUAAGCAAACCGCUAUUGACACCAAAGAAACCGUCCAACAGCGAGAAGAACAGCUAGAACACGACAAGUCACACGGCUCUCCUCCUCACCACCACGAGCUUGACGUUGCCAGAGAACAAUACCUCUCCACCACCGUUGAACUCGACGCCGCAAAGCAACAGCUCAACAAAAUCAGACAGAGCUUUGAUUCCGCCAUGGACUUGAAAGCCACGGCACUAAACCAAGCCGCUGAAGCGAAACGUGCGCUGCAAGUAAACUCAGCUAAGGUCAGCGAGCUUUCCAAAGAGAUUGGUGAUAUGAAAGACGCGAUUCAUCAGCUCAAGCUAGCCGCCACUCAGAAUCUUGAAGAGUAUGCUAAUAUCGUUAAGGAGAAAGAUGACUUAAGAGAAUGUUACAAGACGGCGGUUGAGGAGGCAGAGAAGAAGCUACUAGUGUUGAGGAAAGAGUAUCACCCUGAGCUCUCAAGGAAUCUUGAAGCCAAACUGAUCGAAACAACUUCGGAGAUUGAGGUUUUGAGAGAAGAGAUGAAGAAGGCUCAUGAAUCUGAGAUGAACACGGUUAAAAUCAUUACAAACGAGCUUAACGAAGCUACAAUGAAACUCCAAGAAGCUGCUGAUGAGGAAGGCUCUCUAAGAAGCGUGGUGAAUUCUCUAAGGAUGGAGCUUGAAGAGAUGAGAAGAGAGCGCGAAGAGCUGCAGCAGAGAGAAGCAGAGAGGUUGGAGGAUGAGGAGAGGAAGAAAGUGGAAGCUCUCAAGGAAGAGAGCCUGAAACUCGAGGAGAUGAAACAAGAAGCUUUGGUAGCAAGAAACGAAGCUGAAGAGAUGAAUAGAAAGAUAGGGAGCUUGAAGAAAGAAACCGAUUCCGCGAUGGUAGCUGCGGAGGAAGCUGAGAAGAGACUAGAGCUUGUUAUAAGUAAAGUGGAAGAGGCUAAAGCAGCUGAGGAGAAGGUUCGGGAGGAGAUGAAGAUGAUAUCUCAGAAGCAAGAGAGCAAGAAACAGGACGAAGAAUCGUCCGGUUCGAAGAUAAAGAUCACAGUGCAGGAGUUUGAGUCUUUGAAACGAGGAGCAGGGGAGACAGAGACAGCGAUAGAGAAGAAGUUGGCAGGUAUAGCAGCUGAGCUUGAAGAGAUGAAUACAAGAAAAGCAGAAGCGGAUAACAAGCUUGGAGCAAGUCUUAAAGCUAUAGAGGAGAUGAAGCACGCGACGGACUUGGCUCAGAAGGCAGCGGACUCAGCAGAAGCUGCAAAGAGCGUGGUGGAAAGUGAGUUGAAGAGAUGGCGUCAAAAAGAAAAUGUACAACAUGCUUAGCGUCUUUCUUUGGUUCUGUAUAAAAAACAUUUGUUUUAUUCCAAAAUAAAAAUUAUAAAGGUGAAGUUCAACAUCACAUGAACAACAACACAUAGAUAGAUCUCAAUCAUUUAGUAAAGGCAUCACCUAAAUAUCUGAGAGGGAAUCACUAAUCAGCUUCUGUCUCAAGAAAUCUUCAUUAAGUAAACAAAAUAUCAAGGUGUAAUCAUAAGUUUAAGCGACGUCGUUUUACUUAGUCGACAUUAAAAACAAAUUAAAAUCACGUAAACAACGACACGACACAAAAUUUAAAUUGAACCGGAAUUAUUUACCUAACCGGUUUUCUUUGUUCGUUCUCUUAUCCGAAAAUUUCGAGACCUCGGUCGGACAAAUCUAUCUCGGUGUGUCCUAAGACUAAGAGGAGGACGAUUCAACUGAAGCAGCGAUGAUGUUGAGGACACAGAGAUGGGAGCAUCUUACUACUUUGAGAUCGGUUCGUUCCCAUUCAAUUCAGACAGGUACUCUGAGAAAUGCUUACGAGUUCUUCUGCGAACGAGGCUUUUCUAGCGGUCUCACCAGCGAUAGAAAUCUCUCUUACAAAGAGAAACUGAGAAGUGGGAUUGUUGGAAUCAAGAAAGAUGAUGCUGGAGGACUAUGUAAGAAAGGGUCGCUGUCUGAAGCGAGACUGUUGCUUAGGAAGAUGGAAGAGGAUGGGAUUGCGCCAGAUAGUGGUCCAUACAACACUCUCAUCAGGGCACAUCUCCGAGAUGGUGACGUAAGCAUUUCAGUUGAACUCAUCGAAGAAAUGAAGAGGUGUGGCUUCUCUGCAGAUGCUUCCACUGUAAAGAUAGUUAUGGAUAUGUUAUCGGAUGGGAGAUUGGACAGAAGCUUUCUAGACAUGCUUUCUUAAAUGCCUCAUCCAACUAAGUGCCGGAUGAUGAUAUAUACGGAAAAUAUUUUCUCAGAAUCUGAACCUCUAGAGAAUGCUCCAUGACUCCAAAUUCUCUCGUUCAGUCAAGUCGGUCUCCACUGAUCUUAUUUUGCAGAUCUUUCUCAUCAGCUACCCUUUGAAUGCUAAUUGGUCACGAAGAACUAGCCGAGAAACUUGGAUACUAAGAUGCUCCGAUAUGAUUGAAAUUUACAACAUGAAACAUAACAAUAGGAUUGAUGUGAUGAGUUAGAAGAAACGGCGUCAAAAAGAAAAUGUACAACGUGCUUAGUGCUUUUAUUCAAUCUGUAUAAAACAUUGUUUGUUUUAUUCCAAUAUAAUAAGUAUAACGACAA